UCCGUAGGCGGACUAAUAAGUCAGGGGUGAAAUCCAACAGCUUAACUGUUGAACUGCCCUUGAUACUGUUAGUCUUGAAUCAUAUGGAAGUAGAUAGAAUGUGUAGUGUAGCGGUGAAAUGCUUAGAGAUUACACAGAAUACCGAUUGCGAAGGCAGUCUACUACGUAUAUAUUGACGCUAAUGGACGAAAGCGUGGGGAGCGAACAGGAUUAGAUACCCUGGUAGUC
This 228-nucleotide ribosomal RNA is filed under the name uncultured bacterium. Its description in RNAcentral is "partial 16S ribosomal RNA". It matches the Rfam family "Bacterial small subunit ribosomal RNA", at positions 568 to 795 of the family's 1533-position model. The record is from RNAcentral.